This 6735-nucleotide long non-coding RNA is filed under the name Brachypodium distachyon (stiff brome). Its description in RNAcentral is "long non-coding RNA (BDIS_LNC000883)". Lineage: Eukaryota; Viridiplantae; Streptophyta; Magnoliopsida; Poales; Poaceae. The record is from RNAcentral.
GGAGGGGGUUAAAUCCCUAGCUUCAAUCCCCUUCGAGCCUGGCAUUCCCUCUCCCUUCCCCUAGCCUCCUGCUCCACCGGCGGCCAGGCCAGCGUGGCGGCGCGCCACCGAAGCUGCUGCUGCCCUUCCCGAGAUCCACUACUUCUCCUCCUCAAGACCGCCUCCGCCGGGCAGCGGACUGCUGUGCACCUCUCCUCCAACCUGAAGCUGCAGCCCAUCAAGAGAAGCUCGCCUCCAACUCAACCUGCUGCUCACCUCUGCCCCUGUCCCCCGGCGAAGUCAAGGACGACGCUUGCUGCCUCCUCUUCAUCAACGUGUGCAACUUCUUCCCUUCCCCAACUCCUGCUGCUCUUCUCCUUGGGUGAAUGCCCAUCAAAAUCUCUCUCCCUUUCCCCCCUGUUGCUUGCUGUUUGUAUGGACUAAAAGUGAGAACAUGUGUUGAUUUUGUGUGCCUACAAGCUGUUUGUUUAAAUGUCAGUGAGAAACCUUGUCAAUUGUUGAGUUGUUCUACUGUGAUAUUUGUGAGCUAUAAAUUAUAUUUUGUCCUAAGAUUUGUGUGAUAUCUACUAGUGUGUGAUUUAAUUUUCUGUGAUAUUACAUAUGUUAGUUGCCCUGUUAUGUAUUCUUUCCCAUACCUAAACAAUUUGCUUCUCUCUCCCAUUCUUAUAUGUUUGCUCGUGAAUAUUUAUUAUGCCUAGUAAUCGUUUCUGUCCAGUGAUGUUUGCAUAAACGAAACUACUAAAAAUAUUUGCACUGUUUGUUACAAAUUCCAAAAUCUGUUCCUGUGAUCUAGCUUUAACCGAGCAUUGUUGUCGCUGCAUAGUCCCUGUGGAGAACCUCGACAAAAAAACUACUGUAUUUGCAUUGAUCAGUGGCCCUCGGGGUUCUUCCAGGUGUUCACAACAUUGGGAAUCUUCCACUCGUCUUGGGGCCCCCUCGGCCGAGGCGGCGAGCUCAUCACCGGCACCGACGGCGACCCGGCUGGAUGGCUGGGCGCUCGCCUCCACAUGAUCUUGGACGGACCGGUCGGGUCGGACGAAAUCUUGAUAAACCCGCGGAUGAUCCCCGUCCGUCCCAUGGGCUGCUGCACCGGCCGUGGCUUGGAAUUGAUGAAAGGCUGGUGCGGCGGGGUGCUCGCCGCGGCGGGCUGCACUUGCACGGUGGCGAGGCGGGCCGGGGCGCUGAUCUUCUCGUCGGCGACCAUCGGGACGGCAUCGUCGGGCUCGAUCCCGCGAUCUUCGGUGUGGAUUCUUCCAUGGCGGAAUUAGGGUUUUCGUGAUUGUUUUGGGUUGGGGAAUUUUACUGCGUCGUAAACCCUAAACCCACGCAGAGGUACGUGUGGCUUUAUGAAGUACUAGCAAGUUGGCACGAGUCAGGUUCGAGUUCUCAGCCCAAAUUCGAGAACGACUCAUGUCGCACCAGUGGCACCCGGGGUACCACCGUUGCUCGGGCGUGGGUCGCCUCGCUUGCUCCCCGCAAGGACAGCACCCUGGGCAGCACAGUGCGAGCUGCCCGGGAAGCCGCCAGCCCGGCAGGAGCCUGGGAAGGGGGUCGCCCUGGAGCAGGACUAGCCGGGCUGCGGGGGUUACCCCGGAUGACAGCGUGAAGAUCCCAGUGCAGGCACUUACGUCAGGGCCAGUGCAAGUAGAGUAUCGACGCCACGUGGGCGCCUGACAGUCUCCUUCUGUGCAGGGCUGGUCAGAGCUUGAAGUGUGGUGCAAGUCGAGCAUUAAAUGCUCCGACAGGGAAAUGGUUUCCUGUCUAGUCAACCUACAGUGAGUAGCUCGCAGUGAAUCUAGGGCACGUAUCGCCCUAGCUACAGUGUUUUGUACCGUGCAUGCAUGCCAGCGCAGCAAAGGGAAACUGCCUAGGGUCUUUGUUCGGCGCGUGUCCAAAAGCGCGUCCCCCAUGCAGACCGAGGCACCUUUGGUAUCCCCUUGACUAUAAAAGGAGGACCGAGGCACUGGUCAAAGGGUUUGACUCUAGCUGGAUUACGAUCCCUAGAGAUUUAGUCCAGAAGUAGUAAGUAGCCAUUUAGCAGAAAGGAAGAGAGCGUCCGGGGACUCCCCCGGCAACCUGUGAACACUUGUUCAUUGGCUAGUACAUACUCAGAAGCAGGACGUAGGGUUUUACACCUUCGGGUGGCCCGAACCUGGGUAAACUGGCUUGUACAUUGCAACGCUCGUCAUUGGCCUCGCUGGCGAUCGCCGGAGCGAUCCCCAUCGCCCACUGCCGAACCUAAAAGGGGGUGCCUAGCAUCCCCGAUGUCUAAGCCUCGGGCUACGACAUCUGGCGCGCCAGGUAGGGGGCGCGUGCGGAGAGCUCGCCGGUGACCGCCGGCGCCAUCGUCUUCAGCUACAUCAGCUUCGCCUUCUCAGACGACAGUACUCGUUGCUAUGCCUCCUAAGCGGGCUGGCGACUCUUGGAUCGAGCCGCGUGGUGCCCCAGCGGCGAACACGCAGUCACACGACGUGCAGCGCACGUCGCAGGAUCAGGAGAACCCUGAGCCUGCCCGGGUGCAGCAACAGCAGCAUCAAGUGAUACUUCCUCCGCCACGCUCCGUUGGAGACCGGCCGAGGCUAGCCCCGCAGCCUAGCACCGGGGCCGGUCAUAGCCGGGUCGUCGCUCGUGCUUACGAGCCGCACGUCGAGCAGCUGCAGGCCAACGACGAACUGCGUCCAUCUCAGCAUCCUUCUGUUGCUUCCCAAGCAACUCCCUCCGGCUCGCGGGAUCGUCCGCGAGGCACCGGAGCCGUCCCAGACGGCAUCACCGGGCAGGAGCACGCGGUGCCUCCUGUCCGAACUAGGUCAGAAGCCCUCAUGGUGGCUCAAGCCAUCAUGCGCUACGAGCCGCCGCAGGGAACACCGGCGCACGAGGCGUGGACCGCGGAGCUCGCCGCCCUCCUCGUUGCAACCAACCGCCGGUCAGGAGGAUCGCGUGGCCAGUCUAGGGCUGACACUGACCCGGUCGCGGGGCCUGGUGCAGGCCCUAUCCCCCAGCCGGAGCAUGGGGUGCCCGGUGGAAGCCGUCGCACGGGCGUGGAGCCCGGCGACAACUCCGUCGACUCGUCAUCAACAGUCCUGCCAGCGGACGUGCGGGGGAUACUCAACGCACGUCAACAGGAGGAUCUGCGCGAGCGCCUUGAGCGGCGUUGCCAACUUGCACGUGACCGCGCCAACCCCGGAGUCCAAGGCGAAGUGCUCCGGGGGGCUGACGACGGUUGCCCCGCGUUCACCCGUGAACUGUGGCAGGUGGAGUGGCCCCGCAAGUUCUGAGCCCUGCCAACGCUCGGGAUGUACGACGGGACCACGAACCCUAAGGAUUUCCUCCUAACCUACUCGUUGGGCAUGAACGCCGUCGGUGCCGAUGAGAAGGUUAGGGCCAACUGGUUUCCCAUGGUCCUGAAAGGAUCGGCGAGAACUUGGUUGCUCAACUUGCCGGCAGGAUCCAUCUCCUUGUGGGAUGACUUGCGCGAGCAUUUUGUCAGUGCGUUCCAGGGCGGCUACAAGCGCCCGGGAACCAUGGCGGAGCUGCACACCGUGGUGCAGAAGCCAGGGGAGACGUUGUGGAGCUUCAUCAACCGCUUCUCGAGUCUCUCCUACUCCAUUCCUGAGGCGGAGGCUGCCGCCAUCAUCAACACCUUCGCCAUCAACGUCCGUGACCCCAAGAUGCGUGAGAAGCUGAACACGCACCGGAUCUGGACAACGCAUGAGCUCUACGGCUUGGCGCACAAGUGUGCCAUGGCCGAGGACUCGCAGAAGAAGGGUUCCCGGAAGCGCGGCGGGAAGCAAGUGCUUGCCGUGGAACCGUGGGCUACCUCAAGGCAUGCGAAAAAGGCAUCGUCCGCUGGCAGGUCUGGUGGCAAGCCGGGCGACGCGCCCCGCUGCCCCAUCCACGCCAACGCCACCCACGACGCACAAGAUUGCCGCAUCCUGCAGGGUAUCAAGCAGAGGCGCGAGCAGCGCCACGAGGAGCGCCGAGCAGCCGACGCCUGCUUCAACUGCUGGGAUAUCGGGCAUCUCUCCCGCGACUGCCCGGAUGACUCCAUAGCUGGAGCGAAACCUGCCGGCAGAGAGGAAGCCCGGGGGGUCGAGGCCUAGCCCGCGCCGGCAAGGAGCAGCCUCCCCGGGGACGAGACAAGGCUCGUGCUGAGGAGCAGCGCGAGUUCGAUUACAGUGAGGGCGACGACCCCGGCUUCUAGGAGCCCCGCGGCGUCGCAUGCAUCCAUGGGGGAGCUUAUGCUCUCUCAACCUAUAGCGCGGUAAAGCGCCUCACCCGGGAGGUGUGUGCGUUGUUGCCGGACCUGGAGAUGCAACAGUCGUUGAAGUGGUCGCACGUGCCGAUCACCUUCAACUCCGACGAUCACCCAACCUGGCAGUUGGGGUCAGUGGUUUUGCCCUUCGUGGUCUCGCCGAUCAUCAACAACAUGACGGUGACCAAGGUGCUGGUGGACGACGGAGCGGGCUUAAACCUCCUAUCCGCCAAGUUGGUGGAGAAGCUUCAGCUGCCGCUGGAGCAGAUGAAGCCCACCGACCCGUUCUGGGGAGUGAACCCUAGGAUCGUGCGCCCCCUGGGGCGCAUCACGCUGCCGGUUACCUUCGGGUCCCGGGAAGCGUUUAGGACUGAGCACCUCAUGUUCGAUGUGGCUCAUACCCCGUUGCCGUACAACGGGAUCCUUGGUCGGCCAGCGCUGAUCAAGUUCAUGGCGGCAACCCAUUGCGCCUAUGGCGUGAUGAAGAUGCCGUCCACGUAUGGAGUCCUGUCCAUCAAGUGCGGUCUCAAGGACGCGGCUUGGUGUGUUGGCGAGGUCGUCAUGGCUGCCGCCAUAGUUGAUUCCGGUGACGAAGGCAUCGCCCGAAGCGAACGCUCGCUGCCGGGCGAUCGCCCCACAGCGAAGAAGGCUCGUGUUACCCCGCAGCAGCUUGCCGGGGGAAGCACAAGCUCGAGCUCACGCCCCGGCAAGGGCCAGAAGCUCAAGGAGGAGGCUGCCAAGGUGAAGAAGUUGCCCCUCCAAGUCGGCAACGAGGAGCGCACCGUCAGCGUCGGUGCGAACCUCGAUGCCAAAUAGGAAAGCGCCCUCAUCACUUUCCUCCGGGAGAAUGCCGACGUGUUCGGUUGGGAACCAUCGGAUCUUCCCGGAGUCCCUAGGGAGGUGAUCGAGUAUCGACUUGCGGUGCGUCCAGACACCCGCCCCGUCAAGCAGAAGGUCCGCCGGCAAGUACAAGAGCGUAAAGACUCAUCAAGCAAGAAGUGGACAAGCUAAAAGCUGCGGGGGCUAUCAGGGAAGUAAUGUACCCCACUUGGUCAGCAAAACCAAGUUGUAGUACCCAAGGGGGAAAACGAACUGCGCAUGUGUGUAGAUUUUACUGAUCUAAAUCGUGCAUGUCCCAAAGACCCCUUCCCUGUACCCCGCAUUGAUCAAAUAGUAGAUUCCACUGCCGGUUGCGAUUUGUUGUGUUUUUUGGAUGCUUUUUCCGGCUACCAUCAAAUUAAGAUGGCAGUCGAGGACGAGGAGAAAACGGCGUUCAUCAUCCCGGUUGGCUGCUACUGUUACACGUGCAUGCCUUUUGGGUUGAAGAACGCGGGCUCAACAUUCCAGCGUGCCUUACGCGAGUGUUUGGGACCCCAGCUAGGCCGAAACGUUGAGGCCUACAUGAAUGAUAUCGUCAUCAAGUCAAAGCGCGGGGACUCGCUUGUUGAUGACUUGCGGGAGACGUUCGAUAACCUCCGCAAGAUCAAGCUCAAGUUGAACCUUGAGAAAUGCACUUUUGGUGUAGACUCGGGGCAACUUCUGGGCUUCUUGGUUUCACAUAGCGGGAUUCAGGCCAACCCAAAGAAGAUAGAAGCUAUCGAGAAGAUGGAGGCUCCCCGCAAGGUGAAGGACGUCCAGCGCCUCAACGGCUGUGUUGCCGCGCUGGGGUGUUUCAUUUAAAGGCUGGGCGAACGCGCCUUGCCUUUCUUCAAGGUAAUGAAGAAGACGGGCCCAAUCGAUUGGACCCCCAAGGCUGAGGCGGCGUUCCAGGACCUGACGCAGUACUUGAAAUCGCCGCCGAUCCUCGUUGCCCCCAAGCUGGGCGAGUCGCUGCUACUCUACCUAGCAGCGACUGACCAAGUGGUCAGCUCGGUGCUUGUUGCUGAGAGAGAAGAAGAUCUCCCGGGGGCUGGGGUUGCGGGGCAGGGACUGAACCAGCCCCUGCAACCGCCUCGAACCCGGGAACCGCCAUCGAGCCAGCGGCGCUGAUACCUCGCAAGCGGCUCGUACAACACCCUGUGUACUUCGUCAGCACCGUGUUGCGCGACGCCCGCGUACGGUACCCGCAAGUACGGAAGCUCUUGCUGGGGAUUCUGCUUGCAUACCGCAAGCUGCGCCAUUACUUCCAGGCGCACCGCAUCACGGUGGUGUCAGGGUUCUGCCUCGAGCGGGCCCUCACCAACCGUGAAGCCACCGGGAGAGUGGCCGAGUGGAGGAUGGAGUUGUCGGAGUUUGAUCUGCACUUCACGAACACCAAGAGUAUCAAGAGUGCCGGUCUGGCUGAUUUCGUUGCAGAGUGGACCUCGACAGGCAUAGAAGAAGAGGAGCCGGAGACCAGCCUGCCCGGCAGGCUGGACGAACGCCACUGGGUCAUGUACUUCGACGACGCGUUCAGCCUGCAGGGUGCUGGCGCCGGAGUCGUCAUCGAGUCACCCACGGGGGACCAGUUGAAAUUCGCCAUCAAACUCGACUUCCCCAACUCC